GAUGAAGAACGUAGUGAAAUGCGAUAACUAAUGUGAAUUGCAGAAUUCCGUGAAUCAUCGAGUCUUUGAACGCACAUUGCGCCCCCUGGUAUUCCGGGGGGCGUGCCUGUCCGAGCGUCAUUACAACCCUCAAGCCCGGCUUGUGUAAUGGGCGGCCGUCUCUCCCCCCGGGGGGAGACGCCCCCGAAACUCAGUGGGGAUGUCGCGAUACCGAAGCCUCAGCUAAUGGGUAAACCACAGCUGCAAUGGCCGCGGCCGGCGUCCGCCUUCCACGGUCCGUCCGCCUAGCGCGGGCGGCCUUCUCAAGGUUGACCUCGGAUCAGGUAGGGAUACCCGCUGAACUUAAGCAUAUCAAUAAGCGGAGGA
RNAcentral lists this unclassified non-coding RNA (366 nucleotides) under soil metagenome. Its description in RNAcentral is "partial contains 5.8S ribosomal RNA, internal transcribed spacer 2, and large subunit ribosomal RNA". The stretch from base 1 to 120 matches the Rfam family "5.8S ribosomal RNA", at positions 35 to 154 of the family's 154-position model. The record is from RNAcentral.